RNAcentral lists this ribosomal RNA (465 nucleotides) under uncultured bacterium. RNAcentral describes it as "partial 16S ribosomal RNA". It matches the Rfam family "Bacterial small subunit ribosomal RNA", at positions 28 to 507 of the family's 1533-position model. The record is from RNAcentral.
GACGAACGCUGGCGGCGUGCUUAACACAUGCAAGUCGAACGGAAAGGCCCCAGCUUGCUGGGGUACUCGAGUGGCGAACGGGUGAGUAACACGUGGGUGAUCUGCCCUGCACUCUGGGAUAAGCCUGGGAGACUGGGUCUAAUACCGGAUAGGACCGUGCUUUAGUGUGUGCGGUGGAAAGUUUUUCGGUGCAGGAUGAGCCCGCGGCCUAUCAGCUUGUUGGUGGGGUAAUGGCCUACCAAGGCGGCGACGGGUAGCCGGCCUGAGAGGGUGUACGGCCACAUUGGGACUGAGACACGGCCCAGACUCCUACGGGAGGCAGCAGUGGGGAAUAUUGCACAAUGGGCGCAAGCCUGAUGCAGCGACGCCGCGUGGGGGAUGACGGCCUUCGGGUUGUAAACCCCUUUCGGCAGGGACGAAGCUUUUGUGACGGUACCUGCAUAAGAAGCACCGGCUAACUACGUG